GUCUAUGGCCAUGCUACCCUGAACAAGCCCGAUCCCGUCUGAUCUCAGAAGCUAAGCAGGGUUGGGCCUGGUUAGUACUUGGAUGGGAGACCACCUAGGAAGACCAGGUGCUGUAGGCA
Pteropus vampyrus (large flying fox) is the source of this 119-nucleotide ribosomal RNA. The record is from Ensembl. Lineage: Eukaryota; Metazoa; Chordata; Mammalia; Chiroptera; Pteropodidae.